This 498-nucleotide ribosomal RNA is filed under the name uncultured bacterium. RNAcentral's name for it is "bacterial SSU rRNA". It matches the Rfam family "Bacterial small subunit ribosomal RNA", at positions 899 to 1397 of the family's 1533-position model. The record is from RNAcentral.
ACUCAAAUGAAUAGACGGGCACCCGCACAAGCGGUGGAGCAUGCUGUUUAAUUCGAAGAUACGCGAAGAACCUUACCUGGACUUGACAUCCCGUUGACCGUCCUAGAGAUAGGACUUUCUCUUCGGAGACAAUGGAGACAGGUGGUGCAUGGUUGUCGUCAGCUCGUGUCGUGAGAUGUUCGGUUAAGUCCGAUAACGAGCGCAACCCUUACCCUUAAUUGCUAACAUUAAGUUGAGAACCUUAAGGGGACCGCCGGCGAUAAGUCGGAGGAAGAUGGGGAUGAGGUCAAAUCAUCAUGCCCCUUACGUCCAGGGCUACAGGCGUGCUACAAUGGCUGGUAUAAAAAGACGCAAGACCGUGAGGUGGAGCAAAUCUCUAAAGCCAGUCCCAGUUCGGAUUGGAGUCUGCAACUCGACUCCAUGAAGUUGGAAUCGCUAGUAAUCGUGAAUCAGAAUGUCACGGUGAAUACGUUCCCGGGUGUUGUACACACCGCCCGU